This 497-nucleotide ribosomal RNA is filed under the name uncultured bacterium. Its description in RNAcentral is "partial 16S ribosomal RNA". It matches the Rfam family "Bacterial small subunit ribosomal RNA", at positions 28 to 507 of the family's 1533-position model. The record is from RNAcentral.
GAUGAACGCUGGCGGCGUGCCUAAUACAUGCAAGUCGAGCGAACAGACGAGGAGCUUGCUCCUCUGACGUUAGCGGCGGACGGGUGAGUAACACGUGGAUAACCUACCUAUAAGACUGAGAAAACUUCGGGAAACCGGAGCUAACACCGGAUAAUAUAUUGAACCGCAUGGUUCAAUAGUGAAAGACGGCUUUGCUGUCACUUAUAGAUGGAUCUGCGCCGAAUUAGAUAGUUGGUAAGGUAACGGCUUACCAAGGCAACGAUGCGUAGCCGACCUGUGAGAGUGAUCGGCCACACUGGAACUGAGACGCGGACCAGACUCCUGCGGGAGGGAGCAGUAGGGAAUCGUCCGCAAUGGGCGAGAGCCUUGCGGAGCAACGCCACGUGAGUGAUGAAGGUCUUCGGUUCGUAAAACUGUGUUAUUAGGGAAAAACAAAUUUGUAAGUAACUGUGGACGUCUUGACGGUACCUAGUCAGAAAGCCACGGCUAACUACGUG